UCUUUCAAUCAACUUUUUACUUAACUCUUUUACUUUUGGAUGGUAGUGUUUAUAGUAGUGAGGGCAUUAAUGUGGAAAUUAUUCUAUUUUCAGUCAGGAGAAAAAUCCCAAAUCUGGCCAAAACUCCAGUAAUUCUGACAGAAAUUGAAGUGAAUUCUGAGCUUCAGUCUCUGAAGGGAUGAAAGGAUGUCGAAUCACAACAUCAUGUGUGAUUCCCUGUGAUCUGUGCUAGUGUGAGGCUAGAGACUGGAUUAUUCUGGGUGGUAAUAAAGGAUCAGUGUCUGUGGGGUGACACAGGGCAAGACACAAGCGUGAAGGAUGCUGCUGGGCCCUGAAACAAAUGAAUAAUAAUGAAAAACAUAAUCAUGAAUAUGGAGACAAAGCAGAUGCAAGAUGAAACCCAUGUAUAAACAUUCCUGAAGAAUUAUGUUGUUUUCACAAAUCUAAGAAGAUCAAGUGAAGAUGAAUUAGGUCAGCUGUAAAUAUCCUUGAAAAUAUUUAAAAGUCUCACAAGAAGAAUAACACAGCAAUCAGACAGCCCAGAAAGGAAAACAUGACUCUACAUCUGUUUAAGACUAUAUAGAUUAUGAUAGCAGCCUUCAUAAUGCACACGGGUCAUAUAAGUUAAGCUAAGGUGAGUUUCUGUGGAGAUUAACGUGAACUUAUCUGUUAACUCUGCCAUUUGCUUGGACUCUAGGGAAGUUUUGAAGGCGUGGUUCGAGGUGAAUGAUGUCCUGACGUUUGUGUGACUUUGUAUAGGGAUUUUGGAGCUGACAGAUAGAUUUGUCUUCACAAAGGAGUAAGCUGUUUAAACAGAUGAAAGACAGGGCCAAUGUGUCAUGCGCGCCGACUAGUGUGUGCGUGUUUGUGCGAAUAUUAAAGAUUAAAGAUGCACACAGCUGUAUGUAUGAAGAAUGAACUUCAUGAGGAAAAGUACACAAGAUUAAUACAGUUUGUAUGUGUGUGUGGUUCAGUUAUUCCCUUCGUUAUGAGGACAAAAUGUCCCGACAAAGAUGGCAAUAUCCGAAGUCCUUGUGGUGACAAUGAGAAAAACAGUUUAUUAAUCAUACAGAAUGAUGUUUUUUUGAAAAUGUAAACAUGCAGAGAGCUUUCUGUGAUGGGUAGGUAGGGUUAGGGGAUAGA
Long non-coding RNA from Megalobrama amblycephala (Wuchang bream), 1143 nucleotides. RefSeq lists it as uncharacterized. NCBI's taxonomy places the organism in Eukaryota, Metazoa, Chordata, Actinopteri, Cypriniformes, Xenocyprididae. The transcript has 3 exons. The record is from RefSeq and is a predicted model, not a curated record.